GUACACAAAAAUGCACAUGCUGUGAGCUCGAUGAGUAGGGCGGGACACGUGGUAUCCUGUCUGAAUAUGGGGGGACCAUCCUCCAAGGCUAAAUACUCCUGACUGACCGAUAGUGAACCAGUACCGUGAGGGAAAGGCGAAAAGAACCCCGGCGAGGGGAGUGAAAAAGAACCUGAAACCGUGUACGUACAAGCAGUGGGAGCACGCUUAGGCGUGUGACUGCGUACCUUUUGUAUAAUGGGUCAGCGACUUAUAUUCUGUAGCAAGGUUAACCGAAUAGGGGAGCCGAAGGGAAACCGAGUCUUAACUGGGCGUUAAGUUGCAGGGUAUAGACCCGAAACCCGGUGAUCUAGCCAUGGGCAGGUUGAAGGUUGGGUAACACUAACUGGAGGACCGAACCGACUAAUGUUGAAAAAUUAGCGGAUGACUUGUGGCUGGGGGUGAAAGGCCAAUCAAACCGGGAGAUAGCUGGUUCUCCCCGAAAGCUAUUUAGGUAGCGCCUCGUGAAUUCAUCUCCGGGGGUAGAGCACUGUUUCGGCAAGGGGGUCAUCCCGACUUACCAACCCGAUGCAAACUGCGAAUACCGGAGAAUGUUAUCACGGGAGACACACGGCGGGUGCUAACGUCCGUCGUGAAGAGGGAAACAACCCAGACCGCCAGCUAAGGUCCCAAAGUCAUGGUUAAGUGGGAAACGAUGUGGGAAGGCCCAGACAGCCAGGAUGUUGGCUUAGAAGCAGCCAUCAUUUAAAGAAAGCGUAAUAGCUCACUGGUCGAGUCGGCCUGCGCGGAAGAUGUAACGGGGCUAAACCAUGCACCGAAGCUGCGGCAGCGACGCUUAUGCGUUGUUGGGUAGGGGAGCGUUCUGUAAGCCUGUGA
This 876-nucleotide ribosomal RNA is filed under the name Escherichia coli. Its description in RNAcentral is "partial 23S ribosomal RNA". It matches the Rfam family "Bacterial large subunit ribosomal RNA", at positions 375 to 1253 of the family's 2925-position model. Lineage: Bacteria; Pseudomonadati; Pseudomonadota; Gammaproteobacteria; Enterobacterales; Enterobacteriaceae. The record is from RNAcentral.